UAACCCUGCUAGGAACAGAGAUGGACUAUG
Molecule: non-coding RNA, 30 nt
Filed under: Mus musculus (house mouse)
Lineage: Eukaryota; Metazoa; Chordata; Mammalia; Rodentia; Muridae
Source: RNAcentral